CUCAUCAAUGGAGACUUCAACGUAAUCUACGAAGCUAGGGAAAAAAACAACCUAAACCUCAAUAGGAGGAUGAUGGGUAGAUUUAGAUCGGCGAUUGAUAGAGCUGCGCUCAAGGAAAUUAGAUGCAAAAAUAGGAGGUUUACAUGGAGCAAUAAGAGGGAAUCGACAAUGCUAGUUAGCAUAGAUAAAUUCUUCACCAACGUUGAGUGGGAGACCCUGUUCCCAUCCUUCAUGCUCAUGGCCGCAUCCAUAUCAUGCUCCGACCACUCCCCCCUGGUUCUUGCUAGUGCCACGGUUCCUCCCACGCGUGCCCGUUUUCGUUUUGAGGGUUUCUGGAUAAACUACCCUCACUUUCGAGAAACUCUGCAGAGAGCUUGGCAGCAUGCUGCACCGCAAACUUGCACUUUCAGCAGAAUUCAGACAAGAUUUUAG
This 432-nucleotide ribosomal RNA is filed under the name Triticum aestivum (bread wheat). RNAcentral's name for it is "partial small subunit ribosomal RNA". Lineage: Eukaryota; Viridiplantae; Streptophyta; Magnoliopsida; Poales; Poaceae. The record is from RNAcentral.